Molecule: ribosomal RNA, 460 nt
Filed under: uncultured bacterium
Lineage: Bacteria
Description: partial 16S ribosomal RNA
Rfam family: Bacterial small subunit ribosomal RNA
Source: RNAcentral
CCUACGGGCGGCAGCAGUGAGGAAUAUUGGUCAAUGGGCGUAAGCCUGAACCAGCCAAGUCGCGUGAGGGAUGAAGGUUCUAUGGAUCGUAAACCUCUUUUAUAAGGGAAUAAAGUGCGGGACGUGUCCCGUUUUGUAUGUACCUUAUGAAUAAGGAUCGGCUAACUCCGUGCCAGCAGCCGCGGUAAUACGGAGGAUCCGAGCGUUAUCCGGAUUUAUUGGGUUUAAAGGGUGCGUAGGCGGCCUUGUUAGGAAGCGGUGAAAGUCUGUGGCUCAACCACAGAAUUGCCGUUGAAACUGGUAGGCUGGAGUGUGUGAGAGGCAGGCGGAAUGCGUGGUGUAGCGGUGAAAUGCUUAGAGAUCACGCAGAACCCCGAUUGCGAAGGCAGCCUGCCGGGCCAUGACUGACGCUGAGGCACGAAAGCGUGGGGAUCAAACAGGAUUAGAUACCCGUGUAGUC